GGGGCUGUAGCUCAGUCGGUCAGAGCGUCUGGUUUACACCCAGAAGGUCCACAGUUCGAGCCUGUGCAGCCCCACCA
RNAcentral lists this transfer RNA (77 nucleotides) under Terriglobia bacterium. Its description in RNAcentral is "tRNA-Val". It matches the Rfam family "tRNA". From Rfam's summary of the family: Transfer RNA (tRNA) molecules are approximately 80 nucleotides in length. Their secondary structure includes four short double-helical elements and three loops (D, anti-codon, and T loops). The record is from RNAcentral. Lineage: Bacteria; Pseudomonadati; Acidobacteriota; Terriglobia.